GUGCUUACACUGCAAGUCAGACGGAGAUUAGAAGGAAGCUUAGCUAAUUCUAGACUUAGUGGCGCACGGGUGAGUAACGCGUGGAUAACCUGCCUGGAAGACCGGGAUAACAGCUGGAAACGGCUGCUAAUACCGGAUACGCUUAAGGGAACGCAUGUUCUUUUAAGGAAAGCAAUCGUGCUAUCAGAUGGAUCCGCGUCCCAUUAGCUAGUUGGUGGUGUAAGGGACCACCAAGGCGACGAUGGGUAGCCGGCCUGAGAGGGCGACCGGCCACACUGGGACUGAGACACGGCCCAGACUCCUACGGGAGGCAGCAGUGGGGAAUCUUCCGCAAUGGGCGAAAGCCUGACGGAGCAACGCCGCGUGAGGGAAGAAGGCCUUCGGGUUGUAAACCUCUGUCAUCAAGGAAGAACAGAUGACGGUACUUGGAGAGGAAGCCCCGGCUAACUACGUGCCAGCAGCCGCGGUAAAACGUAGGGGGCGAGCGUUGUCCGGAAUUACUGGGCGUAAAGGGCGCGUAGGUGGUCCAUUAAGUUAGAGGUGAAAGAUCGGGGCUCAACCCCGAGAUUGCCUCUGAUACUGGUGGACUUGAGUGCAGGAGAGGGGAGCGGAAUUCCCAGUGUAGCGGUGAAAUGCGUAGAUAUUGGGAGGACACCAGUGGCGAAGGCGGCUCUCUGGACUGCAACUGACACUGAGGCGCGAAAGCGUGGGGAGCGAACAGGAUUAGAUACCCUGGUAGUCCACGCCGUAAACGAUGAGUGCUAGGUGUUGCGGGUAUCGACCCCCGCAGUGCCGUAGUUAACAAAAUAAGGCCUCCGCCUGGGAAGUCGGUCGCAAGACUGAAAUUAAAGGAUUGACGGGGGCCCCCACAACCGUGGAUAUGUCGUUAAUUCGCGGAACCGGAAAACCUUACCAGGCUUGAAUCCUCUGAAACCCUAAAGAAUGGCACUUACCUUCGGGGAAAAAAAAACAGGGGGGCAGGUUUGGGCCGCCU
This 994-nucleotide ribosomal RNA is filed under the name uncultured bacterium. Its description in RNAcentral is "bacterial SSU rRNA". It matches the Rfam family "Bacterial small subunit ribosomal RNA", at positions 44 to 1050 of the family's 1533-position model. The record is from RNAcentral.